AAUAAGAUGCGGGAAGCGAAUGAAAAAUGAUUUCCAAUAAAUAAUAUAUUAAACACUAACUGAUAAAAAAAUUUCAAAGACUUUCACAGCCACUCUCAUAUAUAUAUUUUGAAAAGAAAAAAGAAACUAAUAAUCCGGUCAACAUAGCAGUUCAACAGCAAUGCUUAAAAAAUACCUGAAAGACAAAAUAUUAAAGUAGAAACCAUAUACUACUGAAAAAUACCUUAUUCAUAGUAGAGGAGAUUUUAUUGAUCAUCCAAAGACACUCACAAGCUUGAAAUCUGGAGAUUUGGAGAAGCAAAGUUUAGGAAUUCAUGAUCUUUUUGUAGUGCAGACAUUCUGGUUUCAUCUAAGGUUAUCCAAGCUUCUAUUCCUUUCCCACAUUUGGUUUCAAGGAGAAUAGUUAAGUUUCCAAAUUGCCCUGUUUUUCCCAGUAUUGCCCAUGAACAAGGUUGCCCCCGUCCGAAAUCUAGUUUGUGAAAAUCAGUAUUGAGCCAGCUGGUGAAGGCGAAAAUAUCAGGUUUUUCAAAGGAAAACAACAGCUCCAGCUGGUUCAAGUGCUCAGCGAUGGCUUCAAACCCUUGUUCACCUUGGAUGGAUCUCACGUAUUCGCCGUCGAUAACAGCAAUGGAUUGACUCAUCAACUCGACCAAUGUGGAUAACUCGGUGCCUGUCUCGGCUGGAUUCGAGAGUGCACUCGCCAACCAAAACACAUUCCCAAUCGAACCAUCUAAUGUCGUAAGCUUCCCUUUUGACCUCAUGUUCACCGCUUGGACUACAAUGGAUGGUUUCAAGGUUCCUUGUAUCGCCCUGGAUGCCGCCAUUGAACAUUUCCAGAUGAAACUCGAGACAGCUACGGUUCGUGUCGGUGUAGUCACGACUUCCCCUUUUGCCAUGUCCUUUAGGAUGGCUACUGCUUCCUCAUUAAACACAAAUUUCCGUGUAACAAAAUUACCUUUGGUGAACCAUAAGUUUUCCAUCAUGGAUAUGUAAUUCUUGGGCAUUGGAUUUUUAGGUGGAAAGAUCAAGGAGGCCUUAGAUAAGGCAGGAAAUUUAAUUCCAGGGUGGUAUCCUUGGCAGAUUGUUCUCCAAACAAAGGUGAAAAUGAAGCCUGUUUUGGCGUCAGUGAUUUUAUGUGAGGCGCAGAUGCCUAAAGCUACUCCCCCACAUGCAAACAUGGUGACUUGACAAACCAAGAGAGGACCCUGAUGAUUUGAUUCCUUGUAGAAAGGAGGGCAUGGGAGCAAGUUGUUCAAGGUCUCAAUUUGAUGAUGCCUGAGAAACUCGGAUAAUCGACAACCGAUUCGAGCCGAUAAAAACGGAACACCGGCGUCGAAAUCAUGGAUGAACAUGUUACUAAAGAUUCUCCCAGAGAAGGGAUAUAAGAUGUUUAGGGUUUCUGAAAGAGAUUUCUUCAGCUGAGUCAAAAUAUUGGAGGUGUUGGUAUCACUCGGGGGAUAAAAUAAUAUGAUUGGAACAUAAGUGGUGGGAGUUAGCUGAUCAAAUACACAGAGUUUGAAGGGUUCUUUUAGAUGAAUUUCUGGGGAAGAUGGUUUGAUGAUUUCUUUUGAAAGAAUCUGAGCCUCAAACUUCAUCAUUUCUUUGUUUUUUUUCCCUCACCAAUAUGUUUACACAAACUCUAUAGGAAGGAGAAAAAUAUAUAAACUAUUGGAGAUCAAAGCCUCCACUAUAAGAUCUUCUAGUUUUGGCUAAACUACUAUAAAAGCCCUUCACUUAGUUUACCUUUGUUAAAGCCCUUCACUAUAAGAUCUCCAAUAAAUCUGCCAAAAAUAUUGUUAAUAAUAGUAAACAAUUGUAUUAAACAUGGAUAAUAAGUGUAGAUAGUAACAUAUUUUGAUGAAUUACCCAAAAAUUCUAUUUUUUUCGAAAAAAUAUAUCGGAUUAGACCGGUUUUUUUUAAUUUAUCGGAUUAAGCUGAUUUUGGAGAGAGUGUGGAUUUGGCAGGAAAGUGCUUCUAGCUAGAUGCACUUUCCUGCUCAGUCAACAAAGCACAUCUAGCUAGACGCAUUUUCCCUAAUGGCUACCCACUCAGCGGUCGAAUUCUAAUGGCUCCCCCCUAACAGUAACUCUUUUCCCCUAUUUAAACCCCAAAUUUCCCACUUUUUCAAUUCACUCUCUACUCUCUCAAUUCAUUCUCAAUCCUCUCUUAAUUCUCACUCAAUUCUCUCAGUUCACUCUCAUUUUUUAUUAAAAUUGUAUUAAGGUUUUUUAAUUUUUUUGUAUUACAAUUUUUAUUUGUAUUUAUUGAAAUUAUUAAUGACAAAUUCUCUUAUUCGUUUAGAUGACAAGCACAUUUCGACCGUUCAAUUGCAAAUGGUAAGAAUUUUUUUAUUACUUUUAAUCUAAUCUAAUUUAAUUAUUUUGUUGUUAUAUUGAAAUUUAAGAUUUUGUAUUUUUUUUUAUAAUUAGCUAGAAGAUCGGAUUUUGGAGACGUACAUUCGCAAUCUAUCUACUCCUUUAUCGUUUUUAAUCGAACCAUACUUGUGAGAUGCAAGAUUUUUGCACAUCGCCCGUAUGGGUAAGGGGUGCAAAUUGGAACUCGAACUUGUAAGCGUGUUGGUGGAAAGAUGGUUAAAGUCUUAUUGGUUUGAGAUGUGAAAUUGGACUUAUAUUUUGUGAUGUUUUCACUUAGGUCUUAAGAUCAACUAUACUUUGUUAAAUGACAAGAUGAAACUAAAAAGGUAUGAGCUUGUAGGAUUCUGCCUACAAGGUCGCGACACUAGCUUUCAACAUUACUACGUCCUUUGUUUGAGGUCGCAACGUUAACUCAUUGUUUUCAAAGUCGCGACAUUGCACCAUCAAAGUCAUGACACCAUGUUUCUGCCAUUGAUGACGUGACGUGAAACCUUCAUGGUGGCGACGCCAACUCGAUAAAACUUGAUAACUUUGCAUUUUGGUCCUCAUAUGGUCUCGGGUUAUCAUAGGAGCUUUCAUAAGCUUGUAUAAACCCAAAUAUGAGUUGGAAGAAUGUUUUAUUGAUGUUUUAUCUGAAAUAACUUAUAUAAAAAAUGUCCUUUUUUGAAAGAACAAUUUUGUAUGUUGAUAUGUGAGGGUGAGUUACAAUAUAAAUGCAAGAGGUAGAAAAGAAAAAUGAAUGCUCUUAUUAUAGCUCCUAGUUGUUUACAUUGAUUUCACUCUUUAGUAAUUGUGCUUACUUCAAGAAGGAAAAAAUAAUGCUCAUAGCCUACACUUUGCACCCUUUUCUUUGAAUUAUUAUUAGCUUAAAUUGUCUAGUCACCUAUUUUAAGAAGUUAUUUAAUUUAAUAAUUUUCGAUAGCUUAAUUGCAAUUAGUGAUGUUUAUGAAUUGGGUUGGGUCGGAUUUGGGUCGAACUCAUGCAACGUAUUUAAAUCAAUUCUCUAAGUUCGGGACCGACUCAGUCCAGAAAAUGGACUUACUUUUUUGUUCAAACUCGAUCCGAUUUAAGAAAAGUAAAUCUGUGCUUGACCCACCCAUAUUUAAAAUCUAGUUGGAUUUUAAUAUAAGUGUUGAAUGCAUGUGUUUGAUUUAUAUAAUUAUAUAUUUUUUCAUAUUCAUAUUCAAAUUUUUAGUAGAUGAGCUGGGGCGUCACCUCAUCCUGUAUUUCUUUCCAAUUAUUUAAUGACACUUCAACAAUUCUUUUCACGUCAUUGAUACAUAAUUUUGGUAAUUUUUUAAACCCCUAAACCUUGAAUUUUGAACCCAAAACCCCAAACCCCAACUCAAACCCCAACCCUAAAUCUUAAACACUGACCUCUAAACUUGACCAAUUAAUUAAAAGUUGUAAUUUCCCAUUGAUAAGGGUUAUAAGUUGAAUUAAUUAUUCUAAGUUAUUUGAAUGGUUUAAUUAAAUGAAAAUUAUUAUUUAGAUCAAUAAACAAACCAAACAAAUCUAAACUGAGAAAAAGCUAAAAUGUUGGAUUAGUCGUCGGCUUCGUUUUUACAAUUGUUUUUGUCGAGGUAAGUUCAUAUAAAGAUUUAAAUUCAUUAAUUGAUGUUCUGAAUGUAGUUUUGAUAAAUAUUAUACUAUGUAUAGAUUAGAUUGAUAGUUAUUUGAUGUUUUGGUAUUUCAGAUAUAAUCAUAAUGAUAGCUAAAUUGAAUGUUAUAAUUGAAAAAUGUACAUUUCAUGCUCACGUGGCAAAUAUAAAAAAAUCCAUAUUUUUUAAAUUUAAAAGAAAUAAAAUGUGCAUUUUAAUUACAUUAAUUAAAAUUAAAAUUUUAUGUUGUUGAUUUGGAACUACGUAGCAAAUUGUUAAAAAUCUUUAUUGAUUUAAAAAAAAUUAAAAAAAUUAUAGAUUUUUUAAAGUUUUUUAACACUUGAUAAUUUUAUUUAUUUUUAGAUUUUUUUAAUUUUUUGAAGUUUUUUUUUUAAAUUUUGUACUCUUCUAAAAUGAAUUUGUACAACUGUUUGUGCAAAUUUAUUUGAAUAUGAAGAACUUAUUGUUUAGAUUCAUUCUAUAUGCAUAUUUUAUUUUAUUUUUUAAAAAGAUUUUAUAUUUUCAAAAAAUAAUUAUUCAAAAUAAAAAAAAAUAUUUUUUUUGCUGACUAGGCAUGCUAGGUUAGCAUACUACCACAUGGCAAAUUUUAGUGGUUUUUGUCAACCAUGUUAAUGGUUAAAUCAGUCAAGUGACAGUUUCUGUUAAUGAAAGGAACCAAUAAAUUUUUUUAUUUUUUAUUGAGAUUUUUUUUUGACCCUUGGCAAAAGAAAAUUACUUGUGCUAAUUGUAAGAAUUGACAUAAGUAACUUUAAGGACUAAUAUGAUAAUAAAAAAAAAGUUAAAUACGUCAUGUAAGUAUUUAUUAUCCAAAUAAUUUCCAUAUCUAUUUAUUAAUUAAAAUAUUCUAUAAUCCCAUAACCAAUUAACCAAUUAACCGACCUUAGCUAAGUUGGUAGAGCGGAGGACUGUAGUAGAAUAUCCAAACAGCCAUCCUUAGGUCGCUGGUUCGAAUCCGGCAGGUCGGAUAUUGCCCUUUUUUUUUUUUUUACAAUUUAUUUAAAAGAAUAGGUUAAAUUUUGCUUUUAGUCCCUAUACUUUACUUGGUACUUUUUCAAAUUUUAAAGUUGCUUUGCAUCACUUUUUCACCUUAUUAAGAGAAUAGGUUAAAUUCUACUAUUAGUCCUGAUCAAAUUGUAACUGUUAAAUAAAUUAGUUUUUGUUAUUUCUAAAAUUUGAAAUGAGAAAUACAUUAUCACAUAUCUAUUAUUUCCAAAGAUGAUAUCAGUUUAAUUCAAUCAAACUUUUUUAGAAUUUUCGAACCAUCCAUCAUACUUUAAUUUAGUAAAUGAAUCAUAAUAAAAUGAUAAAAAUAAAUCAUAUUUAUAAUUAAAUAUUUAUUAAGAAAUGAUAAAAAUUUAUAUAAUUUUUUUUAUAAAAGAUGUAUUCAAUAAAUGAAUACUUAUGUAAAUUCUUAUCAAUUUCGGUUUCAAUCUUUAUUUAAAAAUACUAUUUUUGUAAUUGUUUUAUUUAAAAUUUUGAAUAAAAAUAAUAAAAGAUAAAAGAUACUAUUUUUAAAUUAAAAUUUACAAUAUAUCAAUUUUUUUAUAUAUUUUUUACAAAUUCUUUAAUAAUGAUUAGAAUUUUUUUAUCACUAUAUUUCAAAUAUCAAAAUAAUUUAUAUCUAUUUAUUAUUUAAUUAAUUAUUAUUUUGAAUAAUGUUACUUUACAUUAAUCACAACAUGAUAAAAUGCUUUAAUUAUGAUUUGAAUUUUUUAUUAUAAUAUUUGAAUGAUUAAAUAAGUUAAUGUAUUUUAAUUAUAUUCAACCAUUCAAAUAAAGCAUAUUAUUGAACCUCAUGUGAUGGCUUGAUGGUCAAAGGUGUUCAUUGUCCUAGGUGUGACUUGAGUUCAAGUCGCGUUGGUUGUUUGGGCUUUACCUUGCUAUUGUAAUUCACAAAAAAAGGAAUAUUAUUUUAAACUAAUUAUGAUAAUUAUAAAAAAAUAUUUAAAAAAUUAAUUAAAAAUUAAACACAUAAAAUCACAUUGUAAUUAUAAAAAUUAAUUUGCAAAAAAAAAAAAAAAACUGUUGUUUUGCUGCCAUUUCACUGUUAUGUUGUUAUUGUUUGCAUAUUGUAUAAUUCUUGUUUUAUUGUUAAUUUAUUACUAUUUUAGAGGCAUUUGUUUGUUAAGUUACACCUAUCUUAGUGUUAUUUAAGUAUAAAAACAUUUUUAAAUUUAUUUUCAGUUUGUUGAGAAAUAUUUAUUUUACUGUUUUUAGUAUCUUUCAUGUUUUUUUUUUAAAAAUUAACAUAGACCGAAUUAGGUUCGGGUUUAACAUCUAUAAAACGAACCUAAAAUUUUGUUAGGACCGACUUGAACCCGACCCGACACAGGUAUAGUUUAAACCCUUGAAACAUCAUUUUCUCCGAUGUGGAGUCAUAGUUUAAAAUGUCCUCACACAGCUGCACCAAAAUGGCAUGGUGGAGUGGACACAUGCCUUUCUUCUACAAGCCUUCGUGCCUCUGAUGUUUUGGAAAGAUGCGCUUUAUUCUACGACCUUUAUAAUCAAAAUACUUACUUCAAAGGCUAUUCAUCACAGGAACUCCUCAUGAAAUGGUCUUUGGAAGCAAGCUAGAUUAUGGUUAUCUAAAGGUCUUUGGCUGUAAGUGUUUUCCUUACCUUAUACCUUUCAAUAAAAAUAAACUUGAAUCUCAUUCAAUGCCUUGAACAUGCCUUGGUUAUUGUUCAAAUCACAAAGGUUACAAGUGUCUUACAGAUGAUGGGAGGGCCGAUAUGGUAUUACGUGAAUCAAUAAAUUCGAUACGGGUAUGAGUAAUGGUAUGAAUCGAAAAGGAAAUGAAUAUGUUCUUAGUAGUAGAAACUAUGGUAUUAUUUGGUUAUAUUAAAUUGUUGAAUGCAAUAUUUGUAUGAAUUGAUAUACAAAGCUAUUAUGCAUAUAUCAUAUCUUAAUGAAAUGUGUAUUGGCUAAAGGCUGAAUUGGAAUUGAUUGUGCAUAAUCUCGGUUUUGAUAUAUGCAUGUUAAUAGUUUUGGUUGAAUUAACUUGAAUCAUAAAAGUAUUGUUGAGCUUUAUCACUUAGCGUAUGGUUUGUUUAUUCCAUGUGCAGAUAUCCAUAAAUCUUGAAGCCUCGAGAGGUGAAACAAUGUCCAAAUUGUUGAUUCUGGACUCAGAAAUGUUUGCACAAUUCUCACAUUUCAAUAGAUGACAUGUACCUAAAAUUGGACCGAUUUUUAGGUUAUAAAUGGUCAAAUUAGUGUAAUUGAAUAAUGUAUGGAAAUGAAUAGUUCAUGAAAUUGGACCUAUAUAUUGUGAUGUUUGUCAUUUAGGUCUUAAGAUCAGCUAUACUUUGUUAAAUGGCAAGUUGAAAUUACAGAGUUAUGAGCUUGUAGGAUAUUCAGCCUACAAGGUCGUGACACCAGCUUUCAACGUCACGGCGUCUCCUGUUUAAGGUCACGAUGUCAACUCCCUGUUUUCAUUGCGACAUUGCACCAUCAGAGUCGCGACACCAUGUUUUUGCCAUUGAUGUCGUGACGUGAAACCUUCAUGGUGGCGGCGCCAACUCGAUAAAAUUUAAAAACUUUACAUUUUGGUCAUCAUGUGAUCUCAGAUUAUCAUAGGAGCUUUCGUAAGCUCUUAUAACCCCGGAUAUGAGUUGAAAUAAUGUUUUAUUGAUGUUUUAUCUGAAAUAACUUGUAUAAAUUAUUGAAUGGAUCGAUAUUGUAUUCCUAGUUACUUUGACAAUGAAUGUGACAUCCCGUAACUCGGACCCGACGAUCAGGUCGGAUAUAGGGUGUUACAGAUUCUUUAAAAGAAAUUAGUUUUAGAUGUAUUUGAUGAUAAAAUUAAAUCAACUAGAUUGAUAUGACAGUUUUAUUAUUUUAAAAAUUAUAUUAAAAAUGUAUUUUUGAUAUUUAAAUUAAAAUGAAAAUAUUUUUAUUAAUAAAUAUUAAUUGUAUAGGUCAAAUUUUGCUAUUGACCCUAUAUUUUGCAUAAGUUGUAAAUUUAAUACCAAUAAUUUAAUUUCGUUAUUUUCAGUCUCUAUGCUUUUAGAAUUUGAAAAUUUCAGUCCAGUAAUUAUAAAAUUCAUUAAGUUCUGUUAUUUUCAAAAUCUGAUAAGUCAAAUAUAUUAUCGCAUGUGUAAUGUUAUGUCAGCUUGUUAGUCUCAUAUAUUACUCACAAAAAAUUCAGUUAAUAGAUUUAAUGAGUGUUGUUUACAUUAAGACUAAAAUUUCGAAAUUAAAAGGAAUAUAAUGACUAAAAUUGAUCCAAUUGGAGAAUAUAAACCAAAUCUAUGACUUUACGAUUCAUACAUGAUUAAUAGCAUAAUUUAACUAAACAAAUUUGACUGUUACCAUUUGAUUAGGACUAAAAUUAAUCAAAUUAAAGCGCAAAUAUUAAUUUCAUAACUUAUAUAAAAGUACAUGGACUAAUAACAAAAUGUAACCAAUUUUAAUGUCCUUUUUUGAAAGAAUAAUUUUUUAUGUUGAUAUGUCAGGUAGAGGUGCUCAUGGGCCGGGCCCGGCCGGGUUCGGGCCAAGCCCAUAAAAAAUUUCGGCCCGGCCCGAAAUAUGGGCCUGAAAUUUUGUCCAGGCCCAGGCCCGGCCCGGGAAAAAAAUCAUAAGCCCGGGCCCAGCCCGGCCCAUUUUUUAAAUAAAUACCAAAAAAUUAUUUUAAAAAUUAAAAAAAGUAUUUUAAAAUACUUUUUAAAAUUUUAUAUUUUAAAAUUAAAAAAAUUUUAAAAAUAUUUUAAAAAUAUUUUAAAAUUAAAAAAUAAUAAAAAAGUAUUUUAAAAUUAAAAAAUUUAAAAAAUAAAUAUAUUUAUUAUAUCGGGCCGGGUCGGGCCCGGGCCAAAAAACUGGUGCCCGAGGCUGGGCCCGUUUUCUAAACGGGCCUAGUUUUUUUGCCCAAUCCCAUAUUUCGGGCCUAUAUUUUUACCCAAACCCUCCCAUAUUUCGGGCGGACCGUCGGGUAAUGUCAGGGUGAGUUACAAUAUAAAUGCAAGAGGUAGAUAGGGGUGAACAAAAUUCGAUUCUAUUCGAUUCGAAAAACUCGAUAAAAAAACUAAAUUUUGAAUUAACUAGUUUGAGUUAUUCGGAUCAACUCGAAUAAAAAAAUUAAAAUUUCCGGUUUAACUCGAAUAUGAAUUACACAAUUCGAGUAAACAGAAAAUCUAAAUAAGAAAAGACAAAACCACGUCGUUUUGGUAAAUGUUUAUCUUUUCUAAAGUUAAAAGUCAAAACCAUUAAAUUAAAAGGCAAAACUAUUUUGUUUUGAUAAAUGUUUACCAAUCAGUCUUACUUAUGUAAUUAAAUAAUCUUGUACUUCGUCUACUAGUUAAAUAAUCAAUCCAUAUAAACACAAUAUUGAGUAUAAAUAAUGUGAUUCGUUAACUCGACUUCAAAUUUUUUCGAUUCGAAAACUAUUCAAAUUAAUUUAAUUACCAAAAAAAAUUCGUCAACUCAAUUAAUUUAAAAUUUUUUAAGUCGAUUUUACUCGACGUGACUCAACGCUGAACGGUCAGAUUGUUUAAAUUGAAUUCACUCAGUAGUAACUGUGCUUACCUACUUGCCACUUGGACGACAGACUUUCGACCAACUUAUUUAUGUGUAUUUAAUUUUCUGCAGUUUGUGUUCAAAUUAAAGCGUACUUCAAAAAUGAAAAAUUUAAUGCUCCUAGCCUUAGCUUUUUCUUUGAAUUAUUAUUAUUAUUAUACUUAAUUAAAUAACUCUUGUUAGCUUAAUUACAAUUAGAGAUAUUCAUGUAUUGGGUCGAGUUAAGUUUGGAUUAAGCGCAAAUAAAGUAUUUAGAUUACUUCUUUAAGUUCGGGUUCAGCUCAAUCCAAAAAAUAAGUUUAUUUUUUAUCCAAACCUUUAAAAAAAAAACUCGAAUCUAACCCGAUCAUAUUUAAGUUUUUUAAAUUAAUUUUUAUUUAAAAAUAGUUUUUUUUACUUUUAUUUAUUUUUUAUCCCUCUAAAAUAAUUUUUUUAACUUCGUCCUUAGUGUUGGAUAUAAAUAUAAAAGAAUAACCAUAAUUGAUGCUUUGAAUGUGUUCUCCAUUCAUGUAUUUAAACUGGUUUUUUUGGUAAAAAAAUAUUUUUUAACAGGUAUGAUUUGAUAAUAUUAAAAUCUAGCUUCCAAAUGAUUAGAAUCAGAAUUUCACUGUUGAGAUUUUUUAAGAAAUUGACUCUUAAAUGUACUAUUUUUUUCCUUUGAAAAGACAGUAUAAAUAGGAGAUUAUUCCUUAAACUUCUCCCAUUAUUUUAUUCUUGGUGUUUUGCGGAAUUACACGAGAGAGAAAUUUUGUUAGGAGAUUGGGUUUUAAACCAGACCGUCUGUGAACCCUCUAAUCUUUCAUGGGAAUUGAACCUAGUCUGGUUUCGUUGGUUUUCUUUUAGCUUAUUUUUCGAUCAUAUUUUCAACCAACUGCUUUUGUUUUUUUCAAUUUUGAUUCCUUUAUUAGAAGAGCAAUAUCAAUUAUGUUCCACAUUCUUUAUCCGGGUAUAUAGAUAUUGAAAUACUGUGUUAACCUUGGGGCGACGUCCACUAUACGAUUACACAGAUCAGAACAAAUUUGCUUUUAAGACAGUGAUUCUUCCACAGCACGAUGAUUGCUCUAUUUAUUUAGACUCAGCUUGAUUUCCUAUUAGCGCUAAACAGUUUUAUUUUAUAGUAGUAUAUUUUUAACAUUAAUAACAUGAAAACAUUACUGAAAUAUCAUUAAGAUGAGGCAAUUAUUUCUAAUGAAAAUGAUUUCCAAUAAAUAAUAUUUUAAACACUAACUGAUAAAAAAAAUUGAAAAGAAAAGAAAAACUAAUAAUCCGGCCAACAUAGCAAUCCAACAGCAAUGCUUAAAAAUACCUGAAAGACGAAAUAUAAAAGUAGAAACCAUAUACUACUGAAAAUACCUUAUUCAUAGUAGAGGAGAUUUUAUUGAUCAUCAAAGUGUUUCCAGAGACGCUUACAAGCUUGAAAUCUGGGGACUUGGAGAAGCAAAGUUUAGGAAUUCAUGAUCUUUUUGUAGUGCAGACAUUUUGGUUUCAUCUAAGGUUAUCCAAGCUUCUAUUCCUUUCCCAUAUUUGGUUUCAACGAGAACAGUGAAGUUUCUAAAUUCAGGCCCUGCUUUUCCCAGUAUUGCAAAUGAACAAGGUUGCCCCCAUCCGAAAUCUAGUUUGUGAAAAUCAGUAUUGAUCCAGCUGGUGAAGGCGAAAAUAUCAGGUUUUUCAAAGGAAAACAACAGCUCCAGCUGGUUCAAGUGCUCAGCGAUGGCUUCAAACCCUUGUUCACCUUGGAUUGAUCUCAUGUAUUCGUCGUCGA
RNAcentral lists this long non-coding RNA (11271 nucleotides) under Gossypium barbadense (sea-island cotton). RNAcentral describes it as "long non-coding RNA (GBAR_LNC015228)". The stretch from base 4873 to 4963 matches the Rfam family "tRNA". The record is from RNAcentral. Lineage: Eukaryota; Viridiplantae; Streptophyta; Magnoliopsida; Malvales; Malvaceae.